Molecule: unclassified non-coding RNA, 213 nt
Filed under: Hevea brasiliensis (rubber tree)
Lineage: Eukaryota; Viridiplantae; Streptophyta; Magnoliopsida; Malpighiales; Euphorbiaceae
Source: RNAcentral
GGUGAUUUGAUCCAGUUUGAUAUUUUAUAUAAAUUUAAUUUUUAAUUUAAUUUGAUUUUUUUUAUCAGAAAUUAAAAUAACCAAACCAACCAAUAUCACAAAACUAACAUAGUUUUACUACCUACAUAUACUAUAACAUAUUCUUUAUUUUCUUCCCAAUCCUAAUUUUUUUUUCCUACAUCUCAUUCUUUCGGCUGCCCCACUACAUCUUCA